CUACGUGCCAGCAGCCGCGGUAAUACGGAAGGUCCAGGCGUUAUCCGGAUUUAUUGGGUUUAAAGGGUGCGUAGGCCGUUUGAUAAGCGUGCUGUGAAAUAUAGUGGCUCAACCUCUAUCGUGCAGCGCGAACUGUCGAACUUGAGUGCGUAGUAGGUAGGCGGAAUUCGUGGUGUAGCGGUGAAAUGCUUAGAUAUCACGAAGAACUCCGAUUGCGAAGGCAGCUUACUGUAGCGCAACUGACGCUGAUGCUCGAAAGCGUGGGUAUCGAACAGGAUUAGGUACCCUGGUAGUCCACGCGGUAAACGAUGGAUGCUCGUUGUUGGCCCUUAUGGUCAGUGACCAAGCGAAAGCGUUAAGCAUCCCACCUGGGGAGUACGCCGGCAACGGUGAAACUCAAAGGAAUUGACGGGGGCCCGCACAAGCGGAGGAACAUGUGGUUUAAUUCGAUGAUACGCGAGGAACCUUACCCGGGCUUGAAC
Molecule: ribosomal RNA, 482 nt
Filed under: uncultured bacterium
Lineage: Bacteria
Description: bacterial SSU rRNA
Rfam family: Bacterial small subunit ribosomal RNA
Source: RNAcentral